RNAcentral lists this ribosomal RNA (434 nucleotides) under uncultured Clostridium sp. RNAcentral describes it as "partial 16S ribosomal RNA". It matches the Rfam family "Bacterial small subunit ribosomal RNA", at positions 341 to 792 of the family's 1533-position model. The record is from RNAcentral. Lineage: Bacteria; Bacillati; Bacillota; Clostridia; Eubacteriales; Clostridiaceae.
GCGGGAGGCAGCAGUGGGGAAUAUUGGACAGUGGGGGAAACCCUGAUCCAGCGACGCCGCGUGAGUGAAGAAGUAUUUCGGUAUGUAAAGCUCUAUCAGCAAGGAAGGAAAUGACGGUACUUGACUAAGAAGCCCCGGCUAACUACGUGCCAGCAGCCGCGGUAAUACGUAGGGGGCUAGCGUUAUCCGGAUUUACUGGGUGUAAAGGGAGCGUAGACGGCAAAGCAAGUCUGAAGUGAAAUCCCGGGGCUCAACCCUGGAACUGCUUUGGAAACUGUUUAGCUAGAGUGCAGGAGAGGUAAGUGGAAUUCCUAGUGUAGCGGUGAAAUGCGUAGAUAUUAGGAGGAACACCAGUGGCGACGGCGGCUUACUGGACUGUAACUGACGUUGAGGCUCGAAAGCGUGGGGAGCAAACAGGAUUAGAUACCCUGGUA